GUGAGCCACCACACUCAGCCUAGCUGUGUGAUUUUGAAUAAGCUUCUUGAGCUCCAUUUUCUCAUCUGUAAAAUGAGGAUAAUGAUGGUCUCUAUGAUUGAAUAAGUUAAUGCAUGUAGAGGGUUUAGAGCAGCAUCUGGUAUACACAGACCCCUCAGUAGAGACAGUAUCAGUACUAGUAGCAGUUGUCAUUAUUGCCAGGAGGUGACAAUGAUGAAGAACUAGAAAGGACCAUAGCACAGGACCAAAAAUUAUAAAAUGCUCAUGGUGGCCCCAAGGAGCCUGCAAGGGAACCCAGGGCCUGGUGGUACGGGUGGAGGUCAGGGAGUGCUUCCCAGAGGAGGUGGCAGUUGAGUCCCACACCCAUGGGGUAGCCAGGAUGCUGGGAAGGCACUUUUCAAAGGGAGACUGUGGUUUGAGGCGGGGUUGGAGGGCAUAGAGUCAUGCUGUGCGUCUCCCCCAGCUCUGCUGUCUGCAUGCCGACAUGCUGGGCUCACUGGGCCCCAAGGAGGCCAAGAAGGCCUUCCUGGACUUCUACCACAGCUUCCUGGAGAAGACAGCGGUUCUGCGGGUGCCAGUCCCUCCCAACGUCGCCUUUGAACUUGACCGCACUCGGCCCGACCUCAUCUCUGAGGAUGUCCAGCGGCGGUUUGUGCAGGAGGUGGUACAAAGCCAGCAGGCAGCUGUGAGCCGGCAGCUGGAGGACUUCCGCUCUAAGCGGCUCAUGGGCAUGACGCCCUGGGAGCAAGAGCUGACCCAGCUGGAGGCCUGGGUUGGGCGGGACCGAGCCAGCUACGAGGCCCGUGAGCGGCACGUGGCGGAGCGGCUGCUCAUGCACCUGGAGGAGAUGCAACCUACCAUCUCUACCGAUGAAGAAAAGAGUGCUGCCGUGGUCAAUGCCAUUGGCCUGUACAUGCGUCACCUUGGGGUGCGGACCAAGAGUGGGGACAAGAAGUCAGGGAGAAACUUCUUCCGGAAAAAGGUGAUGGGGAACCGGCGGUCGGACGAGCCUGCCAAGACCAAGAAGGGGCUGAGCAGCAUCCUGGAUGCCGCCCGAUGGAACCGGGGAGAGCCCCAGGUUCCAGAUUUUCGACACCUUAAAGUGGAAGUUGAUGCCGAGAAGCCAGGUGCUGCAGACCGGAAGGGAGGCCUGGGGGUGUCCUCUCGAGACCGGAAUGUUGGGGCUCCUGGGCAGGACACCCCUGGAGUCUCUCUGCACCCUCCGUCCCUGGACAGCCCAGACCGGGAACCAGGUGCUGAGGCUCCCCUGGAGCUAGGGGACUCGUCCCCGCAGGGCCCAAUGAGCCUGGAGCCCCCGGUGCCCCUGGAGAGUACUGAUGAGGGGGCUGAAACAGAGAGAAAGUGGAAGAGGCUAUCAGGGCGUCUGGGGCGCUCAGAGAGCCUGCGGGUGAGUGACCGCCGCCGGCCUUCCCGGGGCAGCCUCGGGGCUAAGGGCCGGGGUGGGGGCCGCUCCCGGAGCGACGUGGACAUGGACCCCAGUUCCGCAACGGCAGUGCUUGGCCCUGCCCAACGAGCCACCCCUGAGCCUGGAGAUGACGGGGAGCCGGGACGGUCAGGACUAGAGCUUGAACCAGAAGAGCCUCCCGGCUGGCGGGAACUCAUCCCCCCAGACACCCUGCACAGGCUACCCAAGAGCCAGGUGAAGCGGCAGGAGGUCAUCAGCGAGCUGCUGGUGACAGAGGCGGCCCAUGUGCGCAUGCUGCGGGUGCUGCACGAUCUCUUCUACCAGCCCAUGGCGGAGGGCGGCUUCUUCCCCCUGGAGGAGCUACAGAACAUCUUCCCCAGCCUGGACGAGCUCAUCGAGGUGCACUCCCUGUUCCUCGAUCGCCUGAUGAAGCGGAGGCAGGAGAGUGGCUACCUCAUCGAGGAGAUCGGAGAUGUACUGCUGGCCCGGUUUGAUGGUGCCGAGGGCUCCUGGUUCCAGAAAAUCUCCUCCCGCUUCUGCAGCCGCCAGUCAUUUGCCUUAGAGCAGCUCAAAGCCAAGCAACGCAAGGAGCCUCGGUUCUGUGCCUUCGUGCAGGAAGCUGAGAGCCGCCCGAGGUGCCGCCGCCUGCAGCUGAAGGACAUGAUCCCCACGGAGAUGCAGCGGCUGACCAAGUACCCCCUGCUCCUGCAGAGCAUCGGGCAGAACACAGAAGAGUCCACAGAACGGGAGAAAGUGGAGCUGGCCGCCGAGUGCUGCCGGGAAAUUCUACACCACGUCAACCAAGCUGUGCGUGACAUGGAGGACCUGCUGAGGCUCAAGGACUAUCAGCGGCGCCUGGACUUAUCCCACCUUCGGCAGAGCAGUGACCCCAUGCUGAGCGAGUUCAAGAACCUGGACAUCACCAAGAAGAAAUUGGUCCACGAGGGCCCACUGACGUGGCGAGUGACAAAGGACAAGGCUGUGGAGGUGCAUGUGCUGCUGCUGGACGAUCUGCUGCUGCUGCUCCAGCGCCAGGACGAGCGGCUGCUGCUCAAGUCCCACAGCCGGACGCUGACAGCCACGCCCGACGGCAAGACCAUGCUACGGCCCGUGCUGCGGCUCACCUCCGCCAUGACCCGCGAGGUGGCCACCGAUCACAAAGCCUUCUACGUCAUUUUUACCUGGGACCAGGAGGCCCAGAUCUACGAGCUGGUGGCACAGACUGUGUCAGAGCGGAAGAACUGGUGUGCCCUCAUCACCGAGACCGCUGGAUCCCUGAAAGUUCCUGCCCCUGCCUCUCGCCCUAAGCCCCGGCCCAGCCCAAGCAGCCCCCCGGGGCCAGGGGUGUGGGGUCACCCAGCACUUCCUCCCCUCAGCACCCGAGAACCCCUCCUCAGCAGCUCUGAGAACGGCAAUGGUGGCCGAGAGACGUCUCAGGCUGAUGCCCGGACAGAGAGAAUCCUCAGUGACCUCCUGCCCUUCUGCAGACCAGGCCCCGAGGGCCAGCUCGCUGCCACGGCCCUUCGGAAAGUGCUGUCCCUGAAGCAGCUUCUGUUUCCCGUGGAGGAAGACAGCGGGGCGGGGCCUCCUCCAGAUGGGCAUGGGGUCCCAGGGGGCAGCCCCCUGAGCCCAGCACGGACCCAGGAAAUCCAGGAGAACCUGCUCAGCUUGGAGGAGACCAUGAAGCAGCUGGAGGAGUUGGAGGAGGAAUUUUGCCGCCUGCGACCCCUCCUGUCGCAGCUUGGGGGGAACUCUGUCCCCCAGCCCGGCUGCACUUGAGGUCCCUGCCCAGGAAGCACCCUAUCCUCACCACCACCUGUAAGGUAGGAACUGCCAUGUUGGAUGCCCAUUUCACAGAUGUGGAAACUGAGGCUCUGACAGGAAAAGUAACUUGGCCAGAGUCCCACAGUGGUGAGGUGAGCCUGGAUUUGACUGCAGAAAAUUCGAUCCUGGGCCUGGAAUUAGGUCCCCGGCUUAAUCUGAGCGGAAACCAGCGAGGGGGAGACAGAGACAGAGAUGCUGGGAGAGACAGAGAUGGAGAGAUAGUAAGAGACAGAGAGAGGCAGAGAGAGACACACAGGGAGAGAGAAGCACAGAGAUUUGGUGAGAGAUAGUCUAAGAGUUGGACCCAAAGGGGAAGAGAAAGAUGCUUCGAGAGACAGAGAUAGACAGAUUGGGAGAGUUAGAGGUGGACACAGAGAUGCUGUGAGAGACAGAGACAGCGAGAAGAGACCCAGCCAGGGGAGACAUAGCAGAAGUGGCCCAGCAGGGCCCUGCCACAGUGGUGGAAUGACAGACAGAAGGGGGGUCCCAGAGGGCUCCUGGCCCCACAGAGGUCAGGGCCAGGCCUGUACUCCCUGCCUCAAAGUGUGCAGACCCCAAAUGUCCUUCCCACAGACCCUGUGACCUCCCUCAAUCCAAACAUCCAGACCCCAGAUAUCCAGAUCCAAAUUAGCAGACCCUCAGCCUUGAACUCCAACUCCAAAUCCAGAUUUCUGCCUCCCCGCCCCAAGUCCAAACUCCUAUGUGACUCCGGUCCCAGAGAGCCACAUCUCUCAGUCCUGACUCCCAGCCCCAGUCAGCUCCCAACCUCAGAUACCUAGAUCUUCCGCCCCAAGUAUCCAGUUUCUUGGCUCUGAGCCCCUAGGUCCCAAAUAUUCAAGCCCUCAGCCCUGACCUCUAAACCCCACUCAGAAUCUAGCCCCAAUAUCCAGACUCCUCAGUCCCAAACAUUCAAACCCAUCUACAGGUCGGCCACCAACCCCCUUUCCCAAAUUUUCAGUCCAGUCUCUCGCAGACCCCGUCUCCGAGGCUCUCGCUCGCUCUCCCUCGCCGCCCCCAAAUGUCGCACCUCUGUCCCGAGGCCGCACCCCUAGCGCUACCCGCCUCCCACCUUCCCAGAGUUGGGCGCAGCCCCACCUGCCCCCCACUGCCAGGGCGGAAGACCCCAUUCGCCAGCACCUCCUCGGGCUCGGAGGGCCCCGCUCCGCAGGUCUCCCAGGACCACCAACGCGCCCGCGCCCGCCCCCGCCUCGGGCGGGAAUCCCCGCCCCCUCCCCUCCCCGCCCGUGCGCCGGCCCGCGGCGCUCACUCACUUUCUGGGCUUUGCUCAUCUGCUCCGGUCCGGGGAGAAGUGCUUAAAGUUCGGAUCCCGCAGCCAUGGCCCCCGCGGCGUCCUGGGGAGGGGGCACCAGGGCGAGGGGCGGGGUGGGGGGAUAUCCGGAGCCCCGGGGAGGCAGAGACCCAGAGGACGCGGAGAGGGAGUCUCUGAGACGCCGGGGCGCGAGAGACUCAGAGACAGAGAGACAGCCAAGGACAGAGAGACUGGGGGACAAGCAGAGACAGGGAGGUGCAGAGAGGGAGAGAGACAGCGAGAAAGACGCGCAAAGAGCGGAGACGCAGAGAGCUGGGGCCGGAGCUCCGGGCGGGAGCGCAGCGCGGCGAGCGCGGCUGGGCGCGCGCCGGGGACCGCCGGGACGGCUGGGGGCGUGGGGCGGCCCUGCCUUCUGCGCCUCCUCCUCUUCCUCCUCUUCCUCCUCCUCCUCCCUCCGCUCCUCCUCCGCGCGCCGCGCGCCUCCCGCCCUCGCGGCCGCCCGGCCGGGCUCGGCGCGCAGAUAUAUGGAGGCGGCGGCGGCGGCGCGGGGGAGGGGGCGGGGGCGCGAUCGAUGGAAUAUAAUUUUCCUCAAACUCGGAAAAUAAAGUUCAGAGCUGAUCAAAUUUGAAAACA
Molecule: RNA transcript, 5153 nt
Organism: Sapajus apella (tufted capuchin)
Lineage: Eukaryota; Metazoa; Chordata; Mammalia; Primates; Cebidae
Gene: ARHGEF1
Gene name: Rho guanine nucleotide exchange factor 1
Exons: 28
Source: RefSeq, a predicted model, not a curated record